GGGGGGCGUUUCCACCGAUGCGAAAGAGCUCGACAAGAUCAUGGAACUGGCCGUGAAUAUCACCGCAGACAGUGACGGGGCAUUUGACGGGCUGCACGUUCCAUUCCUCGACCAGGAUCGCUCUUGCUUGCUCGCACAGNGCUUCCGUCAGUGGCUUACACUGCAUCAGGUGCUCGAUCUGCCGGUCCAGGUCACCAUGAGACGGCAUCGUUUUCUGCCUUUCUAUUUUUAAUUCUAAUUUUUUUGAUUCGACCAGUAAUGGAGCUUAGACGUACUGGGCUCUUAGCUCAAGUCAUGUCAUGGAGAUUUGGGGUUAGGGUUAACCUUCUAGGAGAGAGAGAGAGAGAGAGAGAGAGA
Molecule: unclassified non-coding RNA, 357 nt
Filed under: Hevea brasiliensis (rubber tree)
Lineage: Eukaryota; Viridiplantae; Streptophyta; Magnoliopsida; Malpighiales; Euphorbiaceae
Source: RNAcentral